AGAGUUUGAUCCUGGCUCAGAACGAACGCUGGCGGCAGGCUUAACACAUGCAAGUCGAACGAAUCCUUCGGGAUUAGCGGCGGACGGGUGAGUAACACGUGGGAACGUGCCCUUUGGUUCGGAACAACUCAGGGAAACUUACGCUAAUACCGAAUGUGCCCUUCGGGGGAAAGAUUUAUCGCCUUUAGAGCGGCCCGCGUCUGAUUAGCUUGUUGGUGGGGUAAUGGCCCACCAAGGCUACGAUCAGUAGCUGGUCUGAGAGGAUGACCAGCCACAUUGGGACUGAGACACGGCCCAAACUCCUACGGGAGGCAGCAGUGGGGAAUCUUGCGCAAUGGGCGAAAGCCUGACGCAGCCAUGCCGCGUGUAUGAUGAAGGUCUUAGGAUUGUAAAAUACUUUCACCGGUGAAGAUAAUGACUGUAGCCGGAGAAGAAGCCCCGGCUAACUUCGUGCCAGCAGCCGCGGUAAUACGAAGGGGGCUAGCGUUGCUCGGAAUUACUGGGCGUAAAGGGAGCGUAGGCGGACAUUUAAGUCAGGGGUGAAAUCCCGGAGCUCAACUCCGGAACUGCCCUUGAUACUGGGUGUCUUGAGUGUGAGAGAGGUAUGUGGAACUCCGAGUGUAGAGGUGAAAUUCGUAGAUAUUCGGAAGAACACCAGUGGCAAAGGCGACAUACUGGCUCAUUACUGACGCUGAGGCUCGAAAGCGUGGGGAGCAAACAGGAUUAGAUACCCUGGUAGUCG
Molecule: ribosomal RNA, 742 nt
Filed under: uncultured bacterium
Lineage: Bacteria
Description: bacterial SSU rRNA
Rfam family: Bacterial small subunit ribosomal RNA
Source: RNAcentral